Gorilla gorilla gorilla (western lowland gorilla) is the source of this 628-nucleotide long non-coding RNA. RefSeq lists it as uncharacterized. The transcript has 2 exons. The record is from RefSeq and is a predicted model, not a curated record. NCBI's taxonomy places the organism in Eukaryota, Metazoa, Chordata, Mammalia, Primates, Hominidae.
UUUCCAUGCUGUGGAAGCUUUGUUCUUUUGCUCUUCGCAAUAAAUCUUGCUGCUGCUCACUCUUUGGGUUUGCCCUACCCUUAUGAGCUAUAACACUCACCGCGAAGGUCUGCAGCUUCACUCCUGAAGCCAGUGAGACCAGGAACGCACCAGGAGGAACCAACAAUUCCAGACAUGCCACCUUUAAGAGCUGUAACACUCACUGCAAAGGUCUGUGGCUUCACUCCUAAAGUCAGCGAGACCAUGAACCCAAUGAAAGAAAGAAACUCCAGACACAUCUGAAUAUCUGAAGGAACAAACUCCGGACACACCAUCUUUAAGAACUGUAACACUCACCACAAGGGUCUGCAGCUUCAUUCUUGAAGUCAGCGAAACCAAGAACCCACCGGAAGGAACCAAUUCUGGACGCAUUUUGGCGACCACGAAGGGACUAUCACCUAUCACUAAGCGUACAUGUGACCGAGAAAGAGAAGGGAAGAUGGAGCCGCCAUCUUCAACAGGAGUGGCACAACUGUCGGAUCUACGUCUGCAGCUGGAUUUUACAGGCUACUCUUCAUUAGAAAGGAAAACUUUACGGAGGACUUCCAUGCCUUCACUAUCUGCCUAAGUAAAUUCUUCUUAACUCCUG